This 933-nucleotide long non-coding RNA is filed under the name Equus caballus (horse). RNAcentral describes it as "lncRNA (ENSECAG00000041429.2)". Lineage: Eukaryota; Metazoa; Chordata; Mammalia; Perissodactyla; Equidae. The record is from RNAcentral.
CUUUGGAACACUGAGUGGAUGAUGGUGUCAUUAACAGAGAUGGGAAAAAUAGAGGGAAAGGCAGACGUGAAUGCGCACUUAGAUUUGCACACGGUAUGUUUGAGAUGGAACAGGACAUCCAUCCGCUGCUGAGUAGCAAGCAACUGCUGCUGGCUUCUGUGACAUCACCAUUGCAGGAAAAAUAUAAGGAUCCAGAAAAGAGCAAAGAAAGAGAUAGGAAAAGACCUGAAGGAAGGCAGAGCUCCUUAAUCCAAAGGAGGAAGGAAUUUCAGAUUCGUGUUUUCCUAACCUCCACCUCAGUGGAAAGAGUGGCUUUCCUUGAGAAAGAAGCAAAUAGCGGUGCCAUUUGGGGAUGUCAAUGAUACCGACACUGUUUAAUGUCUCUGUGUUUUCACACUUUUUUGUGACAAUCCAAAACACAGACACAGUGUUACAUUUUAUUAAUCAUGUUUGGACAUGAAUCAAUUCCUAAUGUGUGUUGUGUGUGUAUUUUCAAAGAAAAAUCUUUAUCAAAACCGAGUGUCCUGCUUUUGUUUGGCACUAGUGUGCCAGGAAAGGGUUACAGAAUCCUGUCUCUUCUUGAUCUAUAACAGCUGGUAAAAAAGUACAGCGCUGGAGCUGUGUAAGUCCCCGCCAUUACCAUCCCCCACCGCCUCUCUCCACUUAGUAAAAUUCCUUACAAAGUUGAAAUCCAGUGGUAAGCAAAGGAAGCAGCUUUGGUUCAUUAGUUUUGAGAGGACUAAGGAUGAGAUUCUUGUAGUUAAAAAAGAAGGUUUUAAAUGCAACAACCGCUAUGCAGUCUGCAAGAUUCAUGGUUAGAGUGUUUUUCCUGAAAAGGAAUAAUUCAGAGUAAGGAGCAGUCUUGGCCUUAUUGAGAGCCUGAGCUAGAAUUGGAAGCCCCAAACCAAAAUCACAAUCAAGUCUGAAAGCUCG